RNAcentral lists this ribosomal RNA (1876 nucleotides) under Escherichia coli. RNAcentral describes it as "partial 23S ribosomal RNA". It matches the Rfam family "Bacterial large subunit ribosomal RNA", at positions 1 to 1894 of the family's 2925-position model. The record is from RNAcentral. Lineage: Bacteria; Pseudomonadati; Pseudomonadota; Gammaproteobacteria; Enterobacterales; Enterobacteriaceae.
GGGUUGUGAGGUUAAGCGACUAAGCGUACACGGUGGAUGCCCUGGCAGUCAGAGGCGAUGAAGGACGUGCUAAUCUGCGAUAAGCGUCGGUAAGGUGAUAUGAACCGUUAUAACCGGCGAUUUCCGAAUGGGGAAACCCAGUGUGUUUCGACACACUAUCAUUAACUGAAUCCAUAGGUUAAUGAGGCGAACCGGGGGAACUGAAACAUCUAAGUACCCCGAGGAAAAGAAAUCAACCGAGAUUCCCCCAGUAGCGGCGAGCGAACGGGGAGCAGCCCAGAGCCUGAAUCAGUGUGUGUGUUAGUGGAAGCGUCUGGAAAGGCGCGCGAUACAGGGUGACAGCCCCGUACACAAAAAUGCACAUGCUGUGAGCUCGAUGAGUAGGGCGGGACACGUGGUAUCCUGUCUGAAUAUGGGGGGACCAUCCUCCAAGGCUAAAUACUCCUGACUGACCGAUAGUGAACCAGUACCGUGAGGGAAAGGCGAAAAGAACCCCGGCGAGGGGAGUGAAAAAGAACCUGAAACCGUGUACGUACAAGCAGUGGGAGCACGCUUAGGCGUGUGACUGCGUACCUUUUGUAUAAUGGGUCAGCGACUUAUAUUCUGUAGCAAGGUUAACCGAAUAGGGGAGCCGAAGGGAAACCGAGUCUUAACUGGGCGUUAAGUUGCAGGGUAUAGACCCGAAACCCGGUGAUCUAGCCAUGGGCAGGUUGAAGGUUGGGUAACACUAACUGGAGGACCGAACCGACUAAUGUUGAAAAAUUAGCGGAUGACUUGUGGCUGGGGGUGAAAGGCCAAUCAAACCGGGAGAUAGCUGGUUCUCCCCGAAAGCUAUUUAGGUAGCGCCUCGUGAAUUCAUCUCCGGGGGUAGAGCACUGUUUCGGCAAGGGGGUCAUCCCGACUUACCAACCCGAUGCAAACUGCGAAUACCGGAGAAUGUUAUCACGGGAGACACACGGCGGGUGCUAACGUCCGUCGUGAAGAGGGAAACAACCCAGACCGCCAGCUAAGGUCCCAAAGUCAUGGUUAAGUGGGAAACGAUGUGGGAAGGCCCAGACAGCCAGGAUGUUGGCUUAGAAGCAGCCAUCAUUUAAAGAAAGCGUAAUAGCUCACUGGUCGAGUCGGCCUGCGCGGAAGAUGUAACGGGGCUAAACCAUGCACCGAAGCUGCGGCAGCGACACUAUGUGUUGUUGGGUAGGGGAGCGUUCUGUAAGCCUGUGAAGGUGUACUGUGAGGUAUGCUGGAGGUAUCAGAAGUGCGAAUGCUGACAUAAGUAACGAUAAAGCGGGUGAAAAGCCCGCUCGCCGGAAGACCAAGGGUUCCUGUCCAACGUUAAUCGGGGCAGGGUGAGUCGACCCCUAAGGCGAGGCCGAAAGGCGUAGUCGAUGGGAAACAGGUUAAUAUUCCUGUACUUGGUGUUACUGCGAAGGGGGGACGGAGAAGGCUAUGUUGGCCGGGCGACGGUUGUCCCGGUUUAAGCGUGUAGGCUGGUUUUCCAGGCAAAUCCGGAAAAUCAAGGCUGAGGCGUGAUGACGAGGCACUACGGUGCUGAAGCAACAAAUGCCCUGCUUCCAGGAAAAGCCUCUAAGCAUCAGGUAACAUCAAAUCGUACCCCAAACCGACACAGGUGGUCAGGUAGAGAAUACCAAGGCGCUUGAGAGAACUCGGGUGAAGGAACUAGGCAAAAUGGUGCCGUAACUUCGGGAGAAGGCACGCUGAUAUGUAGGUGAAGUCCCUCGCGGAUGGAGCUGAAAUCAGUCGAAGAUACCAGCUGGCUGCAACUGUUUAUUAAAAACACAGCACUGUGCAAACACGAAAGUGGACGUAUACGGUGUGACGCCUGCCCGGUGCCGGAAGGUUAAUUGAUGGGGUUAGC